GAUGAACGCUGGCGGCGUGCCUAAUACAUGCAAGUCGAGCGAACAGACGAGGAGCUUGCUCCUCUGACGUUAGCGGCGGACGGGUGAGUAACACGUGGAUAACCUACCUAUCAGACUGGGAUAACUUCGGGAAACCGGAGCUAAUACCGGAUAAUAUAUUGAACCGCAUGGUUCAAUAGUGAAAGACGGUUUUGCUGUCACUUAUAGAUGGAUCCGCGCCGCAUUAGCUAGUUGGUAAGGUAACGGCUUACCAAGGCAACGAUGCGUAGCCGACCUGAGAGGGUGCUCGGCCACACUGGAACUGAGACACGGUCCAGACUCCUACGGGAGGCAGCAGUAGGGAAUCUUCCGCAAUGGGCGAAAGCCUGACGGAGCAACGCCGCGUGAGUGAUGAAGGUCUUCGGAUCGUAAAACUCUGUUAUUAGGGAAGAACAAAUGUGUAAGUAACUAUGCACGUCUUGACGGUACCUAAUCAGAAAGCCACGGCUAACUACGU
RNAcentral lists this ribosomal RNA (496 nucleotides) under uncultured bacterium. RNAcentral's name for it is "partial 16S ribosomal RNA". It matches the Rfam family "Bacterial small subunit ribosomal RNA", at positions 28 to 506 of the family's 1533-position model. The record is from RNAcentral.